This 508-nucleotide ribosomal RNA is filed under the name uncultured Bacteroidota bacterium. RNAcentral describes it as "bacterial SSU rRNA". It matches the Rfam family "Bacterial small subunit ribosomal RNA", at positions 355 to 863 of the family's 1533-position model. Lineage: Bacteria; Pseudomonadati; Bacteroidota. The record is from RNAcentral.
UGAGGAAUAUUGGGCAAUGGAGGCAACUCUGAUCCAGCCAUGCCGCGUGAAGGAAGAAGGCCCUAUGGGUUGUAAACUUCUUUUAUUUGGGAAGAAACCUUUCUACGUGUAGAAAGCUGACGGUACCAAACGAAUAAGGACCGGCUAACUCCGUGCCAGCAGCCGCGGUAAUACGGAGGGUCCAAGCGUUAUCCGGAAUCAUUGGGUUUAAAGGGUCCGCAGGCGGUUUAAUAAGUCAGUGGUGAAAUCUCGGAGCUCAACUCUGAAACUGCCAUUGAUACUGUUAAUCUUGAGUUCAGUUGGAGUAGGCGGAAUGUGUAGUGUAGCGGUGAAAUGCUUAGAUAUUACACAGAACACCGAUAGCGAAGGCAGCUCACUAACCAGAUACUGACGCUGAGGCACGAAAGCGUGGGGAGCGAACAGGAUUAGAUACCCUGGUAGUCCACGCCGUAAACUAUGAUUACUCGAUAUUGGCGAUAUACUGUCAGUGUCUAAGCGAAAGUGAUAA